RNAcentral lists this ribosomal RNA (600 nucleotides) under uncultured bacterium. RNAcentral describes it as "bacterial SSU rRNA". It matches the Rfam family "Bacterial small subunit ribosomal RNA", at positions 727 to 1332 of the family's 1533-position model. The record is from RNAcentral.
GACGAGUCCUUAACUGACGCUAAAGCUCGAAAGUGCGGGUAUCGAACAGGAUUAGAUACCCUGGUAGUCCGCACGGUAAACGAUGGAUGCCCGCUGUUGGCGAUACAUUGUCAGCGGCCAAGCGAAAGCGUUAAGCAUCCCACCUGGGGAGUACGCCGGCAACGGUGAAACUCAAAGGAAUUGACGGGGGCCCGCACAAGCGGAGGAACAUGUGGUUUAAUUCGAUGAUACGCGAGGAACCUUACCCGGGCUUGAACUGCAGCUGAACGAUUCAGAGAUGAUGAGGUCCUUCGGGACAGCUGUGGAGGUGCUGCAUGGUUGUCGUCAGCUCGUGCCGUGAGGUGUCGGCUUAAGUGCCAUAACGAGCGCAACCCUCCUCAUUAGUUGCCAUCAGGUCAUGCUGGGCACUCUGAUGAUACUGCCACCGUAAGGUGUGAGGAAGGUGGGGAUGACGUCAAAUCAGCACGGCCCGACGUCCGGUGCUACACACGUGUUACAAUGGGUGGUACAGAGAGUCAACCGCCGGCAACGUCGGUUUAAUCAAUAAAGCCAUCCUCAGUUCGGAUUGGGGUCUGCAACCCGACCCCAUGAAGCUGGAUC